Molecule: ribosomal RNA, 258 nt
Filed under: Triticum aestivum (bread wheat)
Lineage: Eukaryota; Viridiplantae; Streptophyta; Magnoliopsida; Poales; Poaceae
Description: partial small subunit ribosomal RNA
Source: RNAcentral
CCACCUUUUCUUGAAGCUCGACAACUCAGUGGUGACGAUCUAAGCCUUCUUCUGUAGUCUUUGUCACUCUUGCUUCUUUGAGUUCGAAUACUCCUGAGACCACUCCUUUACCUAAUAUUAGUUCUUGUUGUCUCCAUACCGCGAGUCUAGUUCCCCUGCGAGCUACUUCGAGUACACGGAAAACACUGAUUUUUCACACCUCUUCAGUCUGCAGGCUCGUUUGCACGUUUCGUUUGGUUAGGGAUACUGUUAUGUCUC